AUUGAACGCUGGCGGCAGGCCUAACACAUGCAAGUCGAACGAGUGGCGGACGGGUGUGUAAUGUCUGGGACCCUGCCUGAUGGAUGGGGAUAACUACUGGAAACGGUAGCUAUUACCGCAUUCCAUCGGAUUUGCCCAGAGGUGAUUAGCUAGUAGGUGGGGUAAAGGGUCACCUAGGCGACGAGCCCUAGCUGGUCUGAGAGGAUGAACAGCCACACUGGAAAUGAGACACGGGCCAGACUCCUAAGGGAGGCAGCAGUGGGGAAUAGUGCACAAUGGGCGCAAGCCUGAUGCAGCCAUGCCGCGUGUAUGAAGAAGGCCUUCGGGUUGUAAAGUACUAUCAGCGGGGAGGCGUUACCCGCAGAAGAAGCACCGGCUAACUCCGUGCCAGCAGCCGCGGUAAUAC
Molecule: ribosomal RNA, 406 nt
Filed under: uncultured bacterium
Lineage: Bacteria
Description: partial 16S ribosomal RNA
Rfam family: Bacterial small subunit ribosomal RNA
Source: RNAcentral